RNAcentral lists this ribosomal RNA (252 nucleotides) under uncultured prokaryote. RNAcentral describes it as "partial 16S rRNA". It matches the Rfam family "Archaeal small subunit ribosomal RNA", at positions 475 to 726 of the family's 1478-position model. The record is from RNAcentral.
ACCGGCAGCUCAAGUGGUGGCCAUUAUUAUUGGGCCUAAAGCGUUCGUAGCCGGUUUGAUAAGUCUCUGGUGAAAUCCCGCAGCUUAACUGUGGGACUUGCUGGAGAUACUAUCAGACUUGAGGUCGGGAGAGGUUAGGGGUACUCCCAGGGUAGGGGUGAAAUCCGAUAAGCCCGGGAGGAACACCUGUGGCGCAGGCGCCUAACUGGAAAGUACCUGACGGUGAGUAACGAAAGCCAGGGGCGCGAACGG